CCCUUAGAUGUCCGGGGCUGCACGCGCGCUACACUGAAGGAAUCAGCGUGCUAAAACCAUUGUCGAAAGGCAUUGGUAAACCCAUUAAAAUCCUACGUGAUUGGGAUCGGGAAUUGCAAUUAUUUCCCUUGAACGAGGAAUUCCCAGUAAGUGUGGGUCAUAAGCUCGCGUUGAUUACGUCCCUGCCCUUUGUACACACCGCCCGUCGCUGCCCGAGACUGAGCCGUUUCGAGAAAAGCGGGGACUGCUGCUGUCGGGGCUUUCGGGCCUUGGCUUCGGUGGAAACCGCUUUAAUCGCAGUGGCUUGAACCGGGCAAAAGUCGUANCA
Molecule: ribosomal RNA, 328 nt
Filed under: uncultured eukaryote
Lineage: Eukaryota
Description: partial 18S ribosomal RNA
Rfam family: Eukaryotic small subunit ribosomal RNA
Source: RNAcentral